Molecule: long non-coding RNA, 323 nt
Filed under: Homo sapiens (human)
Lineage: Eukaryota; Metazoa; Chordata; Mammalia; Primates; Hominidae
Description: non-protein coding lnc-BASP1-14:1
Source: RNAcentral
AUGGUCAACGUACCUAAAACCGGAAGAACCUUCUGUAAGAAGUGUGGCAAGCAUCAGCCUCACAAAGUGACACAGUAUAAGAAGGGUAAGGAUUCUUUGUAUGCCUAGGGAAAGUGGCACUAUGAUCGGAAGCAGAGUGGCUAUGGUGGGCAGACAAAGCCAAUUUUCUGGAAGAAGGCUAAGACCACAAAGAAGAUUGUGCUAAGGCUGGACAAUGUGUUGAGCCUAACUGCAGAUCCAAGAGGAUGCUGGCCAUUAAGAGAUGCAAGCAUUUUGAACUGGGAGGAGAUAGGAAGAGAAAGGGCCAAGUGAUCCAGUUCUAA